Molecule: long non-coding RNA, 581 nt
Filed under: Anser brachyrhynchus (Pink-footed goose)
Lineage: Eukaryota; Metazoa; Chordata; Aves; Anseriformes; Anatidae
Description: lncRNA (ENSABRG00000004695.1)
Source: RNAcentral
AAUGGUUUGUCUCAUCCAUCUUCUUGGGAAUGCUUUUAUCUAUUUAGAUUACUCUUUCGGCAAGUGGAAAGGAAAUACAGAAUCUGGAUUGUCUUCUUGGGACAGAUUUCCUUCAGUGCUGAGUUAGGACAUCUUUGGGAAUAUUUCCUGAGAAGCAGAAGGACUGGGAUAAGCAAGUGGAAACCUAAAGGGGCAGCUGACAACAGAGUGGUGUUGAAGCCGAUUCAUCCUAAAGGGCAGUCCACUCACCCUCACUCAAGAGAACAGAAAGGUGAAGACCAGGGUGAGAGAAAAGAGCUCCCCACCCCGCCCCACAGUGUUUUAGUUGUGGAGAACUUGAGCCAUUUCUGUUUCACUAGCAAAGAAAGGAAAAAGGAAAGGCCAAUACAAAAAGAUUUUAAUUUUAAAUACAAUAUGACUAUAUAUGCAUGCAAAUUAGGUGAGACACUCAGUGUGUCCAAGUUAAAGCAAUGUUUUAAAAACUGUAAUCUGCUUUUUGUAGAGUUCCUUAAUUCCAGUGUGUAUUACAAAAUAUAUGCAGUGUGAAUAAAACCUGAGCUUCCCUAAUAACUCAUUGGUGA